GGUACGAUGGCCGAGUGGUUUAAGGCGAUAGGUUUAAGCUUAGCUAAACACGCAAGUAGCAUCAUACGAGCUGCUCCCUAUUGGGCGUAAGUCCGCGUGAGUUCGAUCCUCACUCGUACCA
Non-coding RNA from Phyllosticta capitalensis, 121 nucleotides. The record is from the annotation of a GenBank genome assembly. NCBI's taxonomy places the organism in Eukaryota, Fungi, Ascomycota, Dothideomycetes, Botryosphaeriales, Phyllostictaceae.